Molecule: transfer RNA, 62 nt
Filed under: Melasis buprestoides
Lineage: Eukaryota; Metazoa; Arthropoda; Insecta; Coleoptera; Eucnemidae
Description: tRNA-Gly
Source: RNAcentral
AUUUAUAUAGUAUAAAUAUUAUUUUUGAUUUCCAAUCAAAAGAUCUAACAUUAGUAUAAAUA